Molecule: ribosomal RNA, 90 nt
Filed under: Serpentinicella alkaliphila
Lineage: Bacteria; Bacillati; Bacillota; Clostridia; Peptostreptococcales; Natronincolaceae
Source: RNAcentral
ACCUGUUCCCAUACCGAACACAGAAGUUAAGCCCUUCAGCGCCGAUGGUACUUGGCGGGCAGCCGCCUGGGAGAGUAGGUCGUUGCGGUU